Molecule: ribosomal RNA, 460 nt
Filed under: uncultured bacterium
Lineage: Bacteria
Description: partial 16S ribosomal RNA
Rfam family: Bacterial small subunit ribosomal RNA
Source: RNAcentral
CCUACGGGUGGCAGCAGUGAGGAAUAUUGGUCAAUGGACGCGAGCCUGAACCAGCCAAGUAGCGUGAAUGAUGACUGCCCUACGGGUUGUAAACUUCUUUUAUAAAGGAAUAAAAUGAGGCACGUGUGCCUUUUUGUAUGUAUUUUAUGAAUAAGGAUCGGCUAACUCCGUGCCAGCAGCCGCGGUAAUACGGAGGAUCCGAGCGUUAUCCGGAUUUAUUGGGUUUAAAGGGAGCGUAGAUGGGUUGUUAAGUCAGUUGUGAAAGUUUGCGGCUCAACCGUAAAAUUGCAAUUGAUACUGGCAGUCUUGAGUACAGUUGAGGUAGGCGGAAUUCGUGGUGUAGCGGUGAAAUGCUUAGAUAUCACGAAGAACCCCGAUUGCGAAGGCAGCCUACUAAACUGUGACUGACAUUGAUGCUCGAAAGUGUGGGUAUCAAACAGGAUUAGAUACCCUAGUAGUC